UCUGUAUGAUCAUCUCCGCGAUGUCCGCGGC
This 31-nucleotide small RNA is filed under the name Bombyx mori (domestic silkworm). RNAcentral's name for it is "ovarian small RNA-30024". Lineage: Eukaryota; Metazoa; Arthropoda; Insecta; Lepidoptera; Bombycidae. The record is from RNAcentral.